This 466-nucleotide ribosomal RNA is filed under the name uncultured bacterium. RNAcentral's name for it is "bacterial SSU rRNA". It matches the Rfam family "Bacterial small subunit ribosomal RNA", at positions 330 to 793 of the family's 1533-position model. The record is from RNAcentral.
GCCAGACUCCUACGGGAGGCAGCAGUGAGGAAUAUUGGUCAAUGGGCGGGAGCCUGAACCAGCCAAGCCGCGUGAAGGAAGAAGGCGCCAAGCGUCGUAAACUUCUUUUGUCGGGGAACAAAGGGCGCCACGUGUGGCGUUGUGAGUGUACCCGAAGAAAAAGCAUCGGCUAACUCCGUGCCAGCAGCCGCGGUAAUACGGAGGAUGCGAGCGUUAUCCGGAUUUAUUGGGUUUAAAGGGUGCGUAGGCGGUCCGGAAAGUCAGCGGUAAAAGCCCGGGGCUCAACCCCGGGGCUGCCGUUGAAACCGGAGCGCUAGAAUUCCGAUGCCGUCGGAGGAAUGUGUGGUGUAGCGGUGAAAUGCAUAGAUAUCACACAGAACACCGAUUGCGAAGGCAUCUGACGAAUCGGAGAUUGACGCUGAUGCACGAAAGCGUGGGUAUCGAACAGGAUUAGAUACCCGGGUAC